CCUACGGGUGGCAGCAGUGAGGAAUAUUGGUCAAUGGGCGCGAGCCUGAACCAGCCAAGUAGCGUGAAGGAUGACUGCCCUACGGGUUGUAAACUUCUUUUAUACAAGAAUAAAGUGAGACACGUGUGCCUUUUUGUAUGUACUUUAUGAAUAAGGAUCGGCUAACUCCGUGCCAGCAGCCGCGGUAAUACGGAGGAUCCGAGCGUUAUCCGGAUUUAUUGGGUUUAAAGGGUGCGUAGGCGGGUUGUUAAGUCAGCGGUGAAAUGUCCGGGCUGAACCCGGGGACUGCCGUUGAUACUGGCGAUCUUGAGAGUAGGUGCGGUAGGCGGAAUGUGUGGUGUAGCGGUGAAAUGCUUAGAUAUCACGCAGAACACCGAUUGCGAAGGCAGCUUACCGGUCUAUAACUGACGCUGAGGCACGAAAGCGUGGGGAGCGAACAGGAUUAGAUACCCGGGUAGUC
Molecule: ribosomal RNA, 460 nt
Filed under: uncultured bacterium
Lineage: Bacteria
Description: partial 16S ribosomal RNA
Rfam family: Bacterial small subunit ribosomal RNA
Source: RNAcentral